This 313-nucleotide long non-coding RNA is filed under the name Ananas comosus (pineapple). Its description in RNAcentral is "long non-coding RNA (ACOM_LNC033071)". The record is from RNAcentral. Lineage: Eukaryota; Viridiplantae; Streptophyta; Magnoliopsida; Poales; Bromeliaceae.
UUGGAUAGGAUCCGGGAGAAACAGAGUGGGGACUCUCACUUGUUGAGGUUUCGAGAGCAGUUAGAGAGGAGACAGGCAGAGGAUUUUGUUGUGGAUAGUUCAGUAGUAUUGCGGUACAGGGACCGACUGUAUAUGCCUAUGGAUUUAGAGAUCCGAGAGGAGAUUUUGAGAGAGGCUCAUUAUUCACCUUGUACGGUUCACACUGGUGGAACCAAUAUGUAUAAGGAUUUGAAGGCACAGUUCUGGUGGAAUGGAAUGAAGAAGAACAUUGGCAGAUUUGUAGCUCAGUGUCGACUUGUCAACAGGUAAAGGC